UAUGGCAUUGUUCUUCUGGCUCCUCAAGUGAUUUUACAUGGUGGACUGCCAAUAAAAACUAACCAAUAUGCCGAAGAAGAACAACUAUAUUCUGUAAACUUGACUGCUCCGGAAUAUUACAUGUCCUGUAAACCACUCUUGCUCUCUGACUACAUCAAUCUACUCUGGACCACAGCAGCAGAGAUUUGUGCUGUUUUUUUUGCGUGGUUGCUUAUCGAAACUUCGGGAAGACGAAGAUUAAUGUUCGUGUUUUUGUGCUUCUACUCUGCAUCUGUCAUGAUGUUAUUGAUAGGCAAAGUGCCGUAAGUACUGA
Limulus polyphemus (Atlantic horseshoe crab) is the source of this 313-nucleotide long non-coding RNA. RefSeq lists it as uncharacterized. The record is from RefSeq and is a predicted model, not a curated record. Lineage: Eukaryota; Metazoa; Arthropoda; Merostomata; Xiphosura; Limulidae. The transcript is spliced from 3 exons.